AUCCGUAUAUAAAAUCUGUAUAUAAUAUUGACGCGUUUGAGCGGGAAUUUUAGCCAAGGAUAGAAUCAGUAGAUAAAAAAUUAAAGUCCUUAUGUAAUUCCAAAAGUUAUUACCUUCCGAAAUUACAUACGAAUAUUUAUAAUUAAUUAUUAAAAAAAUAAAAAACAAAACUUUAUAUACUAAUUUAUAAUCUGUAUGUAAGUAAAAAAAUAAUUAUUAAGAAUAAAAUCUAAAAAUACUUUUCCCUCUUUUUACGAUUACCUUUUUCCCACUAUUCUCCAAAAUCUAAAAAUUUUACAUUUUUUUCCCUCAAUUUUCCAAAAUCUAAAUUUUACAAAUUCCAUUCAAAAUUUAUGAAUAAUCUUAGUAACUACUCUGAGUUCUCUCAAAGCAUGAACCCUAUAACGGUUUCUUCUCCUUUCUUCUCCAGAGAUUGCCACACCUUCUCUAGAGAUAUAUGAAGGCUUCUGAGCUCACUAACUGAUAUACAAAGCCCUAGUCUAACUUCCUCUUGCUCACUCUUAGUUCAGCCCCUCCCGUUGCUUCCACUCUCGUUCACUCUUAGCUUAGUCCGUCAUUCACUGUUGUUGGCUUCACCCAUCUUGCCUGAGUCCCUUCUUACCAUUACUCUCCGUCGCCGAUAGUCCAUGCCACCGUCUCGCCGUGAGUCCCUUUCGUAAUCACUCUGGCUCUCAUUCGCUCUCGCUAUUACUGCUUGUGUCCAUCAGUCCCCCUCGGCGUCACUCCCUCUAGAGUUGGCAUUGUAAGUCACGGUCACAGGGUUGCUUCAUCUGGUAAUAGCUUCUCUCAUAGUUCAUUCAUAAAACCCUAAAAUUGGAAGAUCGGAAAACCCUAAUUUAAGGUAUGUUUCGGUGAAAUUUUUUUUUCUCAUUAUGUUUUUGUUGGAGUUUUUUUAAGACUGUGGAAAAUAGGGUAAUGUGAGUACUUGAAGGCUAUGCUCUCUGUUUAAUUAGUAUACAUUAGAUUGAAAGUUUUAUAGGGAUAGUAGACCCUGAAAAAAGGAUUCUCGAUCUUGUUAAUGAAGAUGAUGAUUCUAUUCAAAAGCAUGUAUUUUAAUUCGAAAUAGUUAUUACCAUUGCUGAAGUUUGAAUGAAAGAGAUACCCUUCCUCUACUUCCUUUUUCCCAGCGCAGAGUGGACUCUCAGAAACAAAUGCCGCACUGGAAUUUGCGGUGAACUCCCUUCUAGUAAGCAUUUUUUUUUUACUUAAAAAGUGUAAGGCAAGAUUUAUCCUCAUCAUUUGAAACUUUUAAUGUGUUUGUUACUUUUUCUAUCAUCUAUUUAAUUAUACUUGGGACUGCACAUUCUUUGAGUUUAAUGAUCUAAAAAACAAAGUAUGUUUCUUCAAGCUUCGUUCUUUUAUGGAUUUCUUUGAAUUUCUUUUGGAGUAAUGAGAGGGUGACAUUUACAUUCAUUUGAUACAAUAUUGGUCAUAUAAAAGAACUUUGAUUUGGUGAAAUUAUGGCAUCAAAAUGGGAUUGUUGUAAUUACUUCAUGGCCCCUCUUCAUCUCCAUUUAUUAAGUGUAAGCAUUUCACUUUCACACUUUGGAUUUUCUUCAUCUUCUUUCUUUAAUAAAUUAAGGAUUAUGGAAUCAUGGAUCAUUCUUCUCUUGUCAGUUAAAUUUAUCAUUCUUCUAUUUGUCAAUUCUCUAUUUGAUUCUUCUUAAAAGUUAAGUUUAAAUGGUUGUGUUUUAUAUAUAAUCUGUAAUUCUAUUUUGUUCUGUUAAGAGUUUCAAAGAGGUAAUGUACAAGUUAUGCUUUUGAAAUUUGAAUAUAGCUGAAACAUGUUAAAAAUCCCAUAUUUAAGAUAUCUCAAAGUUGUCAUGAGAUUCAAUGUAAGGGAAGAAAUGGGAAGAAACACAAAUGUUUGCAUUGUGACAUGGAUUGUAUGAUCCUAGUAGAAGUAUGAAAUAUGUGUGAAGAACUUUCUUUAAAUCACUACCAGUACUUAGGCAUUCAAAUAAUGAUUGAUGUUCUCACUUUCCAUAUGGUUUCAUUGUUUAGAUAAAAUUUGUACAACUUAUAAUCAAAUGAGUAAUCAAACAUAUUAUUAUUAUUAUAUUACACAUGAUGGGUAAUUCUAAAUGUUUAGGUAUCAUUCAUGAUAUAUAUGUAGGCAUGGAAUGUUUCCACUUUUGAGUGCUUGGGUAGAUGGUCCUGAAUCUGUAACUCAGUGUCCAAUACGUCCUGGUGAAAGGUAUACCUAUAGAUAUAAUAUAACACGACAAGAAGGUACCCUUUGGUGGCAUUCACACUCUUUUUUUCUACGAUCAACUAUUUAUGGGACUCUCAUCAUUCGCCCUUGAAAAGGAAACACCCUUUUCCUUCAUUUUACCAAGAUGUCCCCCUAUUGAUUGAUGUAUACUACAAGAAAUAUUGGAAUUAUAUAUGGACUAUUAUAUAGGUAUGUAUUUUUAAUGUAUGUUAAUUAUGAUGCAGGGGCUAGUUUUUUAAACAUUAUAGUUUGUUCUGUCAUCCAACAUGAUUUGAUUUUUAUCUCUGCAGUCAUGUCGGUAUCCAGGUGGAAGAUAAUAUAUCUAUUCUAUGCUUAGAUUUAUGAUGAAUGGUAUGAGUAAAGAUAUCCUUGAUUUCUUUUAUUUGUUUUUAGAGGCGGCUUGGUUUCUACUAUUUAACCAUUUAACCUAUUUAGAUUACUUAGUGUGUUUAUAAAGAAAUUUACUUAUUGUGUUUCAGUUCAAUCAUUUCUAUAAGAAUAAGAAUCAAUUAAAAAGAAAAAAGGCUUUAUCAUUUUUCUGUUAAUUGUUCUAACUAUAUAGUAUUUAUAAUUUGUCUAUUAAUGCGGGUGCUUCAUGCUACAAUGAUGAAGCGGUUUGAGAUUGCAGAGAGCUGGUGGAGAAUUUGAAUGCAUCAAAUGGUCAAGUAAAUUUCUUUUUGGAGUGUAAUUGAGAUGCUUGAAGUGAAAAUUAGAGAAUUUGUGUGCAAUUUCAACAUUGUAUUGGAAGAGAUAUCAUUAUCCAAACAAAAUCUUUCCAUGCCUCUUGAUUGUAUGAAAAAUCGUAAAUUUGAUAUUGGUUUAGUGAUAGAGAGAAUCCAAGAUUCAAUAUCAGAAGAGGAUAAGAGGUUGAUCUAUCUUGGAGAUGGAAGUGGAGACUAUUGUCCAAGUUUGAGGUUGAAAGAGAAGGACUUUAUGAUGCCGAGGAAGAACUUUCCAAUGUGGGAUCUGAUAUGCAGAGAUCCUUCACUUCUUAAGGCUGAGUUUCAUGGUUGGAGACUAUUCUCCCUUCAUUUCCUCUUAUUGCAAGCUUCAGACUCUGUCCGUCACUGCUCAUGAGGCUUUGCCCAAAGCUUUACCAGUUCGACCAUAGUUUCAUGGUUUUGUAACUUUUGCAAUGGACCAAAGUAGAAUAUAACAUGACUAAUUUUUGUCUCAAUAGUAUAAUAGUAUAUAUUGCAUAGUCAGUUACCUCUGCCUUAAUUUCUGUAAUAUCCGAUGACAAUCUAGUUACAAUGAGGUAGGACCAUCCAGUUGUAAACAUCACAUUUUAAUAAAAAUUGAGAGAUAUUUGGUAUUA
This is an RNA transcript of Vigna angularis (adzuki bean), 3554 nucleotides long. RefSeq lists it as uncharacterized. Lineage: Eukaryota; Viridiplantae; Streptophyta; Magnoliopsida; Fabales; Fabaceae. The record is from RefSeq and is a predicted model, not a curated record. The transcript is spliced from 4 exons.